This 465-nucleotide ribosomal RNA is filed under the name Vreelandella stevensii. RNAcentral describes it as "partial 16S ribosomal RNA". It matches the Rfam family "Bacterial small subunit ribosomal RNA", at positions 338 to 795 of the family's 1533-position model. Lineage: Bacteria; Pseudomonadati; Pseudomonadota; Gammaproteobacteria; Oceanospirillales; Halomonadaceae. The record is from RNAcentral.
CCUACGGGUGGCAGCAGUGGGGAAUAUUGGACAAUGGGCGAAAGCCUGAUCCAGCCAUGCCGCGUGUGUGAAGAAGGCCUUCGGGUUGUAAAGCACUUUCAGUGGGGAAGAAAGCCUUGGGGCUAAUACCCUCGAGGAAGGACAUCACCCACAGAAGAAGCACCGGCUAACUCCGUGCCAGCAGCCGCGGUAAUACGGAGGGUGCGAGCGUUAAUCGGAAUUACUGGGCGUAAAGCGCGCGUAGGCGGUCUGAUAAGCCGGUUGUGAAAGCCCCGGGCUCAACCUGGGAACGGCAUCCGGAACUGUCAGGCUAGAGUGCAGGAGAGGAAGGUAGAAUUCCCGGUGUAGCGGUGAAAUGCGUAGAGAUCGGGAGGAAUACCAGUGGCGAAGGCGGCCUUCUGGACUGACACUGCCGCUGAGGUGCGAAAGCGUGGGUAGCAAACAGGAUUAGAUACCCGUGUAGUC